This 253-nucleotide ribosomal RNA is filed under the name uncultured bacterium. Its description in RNAcentral is "partial 16S ribosomal RNA". It matches the Rfam family "Bacterial small subunit ribosomal RNA", at positions 524 to 776 of the family's 1533-position model. The record is from RNAcentral.
UACGUAAGUGGCGAGCGUUGUCCGGAUUUACUGGGCGUAAAGGGAGCGUAGGCGGACUUUUAAGUGAGAUGUGAAAUACUCGGGCUCAACUUGAGUGCUGCAUUUCAAACUGGAAGUCUAGAGUGCAGGAGAGGAGAAUGGAAUUCCUAGUGUAGCGGUGAAAUGCGUAGAGAUUAGGAAGAACACCAGUGGCGAAGGCGAUUCUCUGGACUGUGACUGAUGCUGAGGCUCGAAAGCGUGGGGAGCAAACAGG